This 751-nucleotide ribosomal RNA is filed under the name Streptomyces caeni. RNAcentral describes it as "bacterial SSU rRNA". It matches the Rfam family "Bacterial small subunit ribosomal RNA", at positions 141 to 904 of the family's 1533-position model. The record is from RNAcentral. Lineage: Bacteria; Bacillati; Actinomycetota; Actinomycetes; Kitasatosporales; Streptomycetaceae.
GGACAAGCCCUGGAAACGGGGUCUAAUACCGGAUACGAGUCUCCUGGGCAUCUGGGAGGCUGGAAAGCUCCGGCGGUGCAGGAUGAGCCCGCGGCCUAUCAGCUUGUUGGUGAGGUAACGGCUCACCAAGGCGACGACGGGUAGCCGGCCUGAGAGGGCGACCGGCCACACUGGGACUGAGACACGGCCCAGACUCCUACGGGAGGCAGCAGUGGGGAAUAUUGCACAAUGGGCGCAAGCCUGAUGCAGCGACGCCGCGUGAGGGAUGACGGCCUUCGGGUUGUAAACCUCUUUCAGCAGGGAAGAAGCGCAAGUGACGGUACCUGCAGAAGAAGCGCCGGCUAACUACGUGCCAGCAGCCGCGGUAAUACGUAGGGCGCAAGCGUUGUCCGGAAUUAUUGGGCGUAAAGAGCUCGUAGGCGGCUUGUCGCGUCGGUUGUGAAAGCCCGGGGCUUAACCCCGGGUCUGCAGUCGAUACGGGCAGGCUAGAGUUCGGUAGGGGAGAUCGGAAUUCCUGGUGUAGCGGUGAAAUGCGCAGAUAUCAGGAGGAACACCGGUGGCGAAGGCGGAUCUCUGGGCCGAUACUGACGCUGAGGAGCGAAAGCGUGGGGAGCGAACAGGAUUAGAUACCCUGGUAGUCCACGCCGUAAACGGUGGGCACUAGGUGUGGGCCACAUUCCACGUGGUCCGUGCCGCAGCUAACGCAUUAAGUGCCCCGCCUGGGGAGUACGGCCGCAAGGCUAAAACUCAA